Molecule: ribosomal RNA, 435 nt
Filed under: Promicromonospora sp. R-45862
Lineage: Bacteria; Bacillati; Actinomycetota; Actinomycetes; Micrococcales; Promicromonosporaceae
Description: bacterial SSU rRNA
Rfam family: Bacterial small subunit ribosomal RNA
Source: RNAcentral
GGCUCAGGACGAACGCUGGUGGCGUGCUUAACACAUGCAAGUCGAACGGUGAAGCUCAGCUUGCUGGGUGGAUCAGUGGCGAACGGGUGAGUAACACGUGAGCAACCUGCCCCCUACUUCGGGAUAAGCCUUGGAAACGAGGUCUAAUACCGGAUAUGAACAUCUAUCGCAUGGUGGGUGUUGGAAAGUUUUUCGGUGGGGGAUGGGCUCGCGGCCUAUCAGCUUGUUGGUGGGGUAAUGGCCUACCAAGGCGUCGACGGGUAGCCGGCCUGAGAGGGCGACCGGCCACACUGGGACUGAGACACGGCCCAGACUCCUACGGGAGGCAGCAGUGGGGAAUAUUGCACAAUGGGCGAAAGCCUGAUGCAGCGACGCCACGUGAGGGAKGACGGCCUUCGGGUUGUAAACCUCUUUCAGCAGGGAAGAAGCGAGAGU